UACGAAGGGGGCUAGCGUUGCUCGGAAUUACUGGGCGUAAAGCGCACGUAGGCGGCUUCUUAAGUCGGUGGUGAAAUCCUGGAGCUCAACUCCAGAACUGCCUUCGAUACUGGCGAUCUCGAGUCCGGAAGAGGUGAGUGGAACUCCUAGUGUAGAGGUGGAAUUCGUAGAUAUUAGGAAGAACACCAGUGGCGAAGGCGGCUCACUGGUCCGGUACUGACGCUGAGGUGCGAAAGCGUGGGGAGCAAACAGGG
This 254-nucleotide ribosomal RNA is filed under the name uncultured bacterium. RNAcentral describes it as "partial 16S ribosomal RNA". It matches the Rfam family "Bacterial small subunit ribosomal RNA", at positions 524 to 777 of the family's 1533-position model. The record is from RNAcentral.